This 1258-nucleotide ribosomal RNA is filed under the name Oenococcus oeni. RNAcentral's name for it is "bacterial LSU rRNA". It matches the Rfam family "Bacterial large subunit ribosomal RNA", at positions 1656 to 2925 of the family's 2925-position model. Lineage: Bacteria; Bacillati; Bacillota; Bacilli; Lactobacillales; Lactobacillaceae. The record is from RNAcentral.
GACACAGGUACUCAAGUGGAGAACACUAAGGUGAGCGAGUGAACUAUUGUUAAGGAACUCUGCAAAAUGAGUCCGUAACUUCGGAAGAAGGACUGCUGGUUUUAUACCAGCCGCAGCAAAUAGGCCCAAACAACUGUUUAUCAAAAACACAGGUUUCUGCAAAAUCGUAAGAUGAAGUAUAGGGGCUGACGCCUGCCCAGUGCUGGAAGGUUAAAAGGAGGACUUAGCUUCGGCGAAGGUCUUAAUUGAAGCCCCAGUGAACGGCGGCCGUAACUAUAACGGUCCUAAGGUAGCGAAAUUCCUUGUCGGGUAAGUUCCGACCCGCAUGAAAGGCGUAAUGAUUUGGGCGCUGUCUCAACAAUAGACUCGGUGAAAUUUAAAUUCCAGUGAAGAUGCUGGGUACCCGCGACAGGACGGAAAGACCCCGUGGAGCUUUACUGUAGCUUGAUAUUGAAUGUUUGUGCUGCAUGUGCAGGAUAGGUAGGAGACUUUGAAGUCGGAACGCUAGUUUCGAUUGAGUCACCCUUGAGAUACUACCUCUGUUGUAUGAACGUUCUAACUCUGAUCAGUUAUCCUGAUCGAAGACAGUGUCUGGCAGGCAGUUUGACUGGGGCGGUCGCCUCCUAAAAGAUAACGGAGGCGCUCAAAGGUUUGCUCAGAAUGGUUGGAAAUCAUUCGUAGCGUGUAAAGGCAUAAGCAAGCUUGACUGUGAGACUGACAAGUCGAGCAGGUACGAAAGUAGGACUUAGUGAUCCGGUGGUUCCGUAUGGAAGGGCCAUCGCUCAACGGACAAAAGCUACCCCGGGGAUAACAGGCUCAUCUCCCCCAAGAGUCCACAUCGACGGGGAGGUUUGGCACCUCGAUGUCGGCUCAUCGCAUCCUGGGGCUGUAGUCGGUCCCAAGGGUUGGGCUGUUCGCCCAUUAAAGCGGUACGCGAGCUGGGUUCAGAACGUCGUGAGACAGUUCGGUCCCUAUCCGUCGUGGGCGCAGGAAAUUUGAGAGGAUCUGUCCUUAGUACGAGAGGACCGGGAUGGACAUACCUCUGGUGUACCAGUUGUUCUGCCAAGAGCACCGCUGGGUAGCUACGUAUGGAUUAGAUAAUCGCUGAAAGCAUCUAAGUGAGAAACUAACCUCGAGAUGAGAUUUCCCAUUCGUCAGAAGUAAGACCCCUGAGAGACGAUCAGGUAGAUAGGCUAGAAGUGGAAGUGUAGUGAUGCAUGGAGCGGACUAGUACUAAUAGGUCGAGGACUUAACCAAG